GAAAUAUAAAAUUAGAACUUCUAAUUCUUUUACUAUGAAAUUUAAUCAUAAAUAUUUCU
Molecule: transfer RNA, 59 nt
Filed under: Halictus rubicundus
Lineage: Eukaryota; Metazoa; Arthropoda; Insecta; Hymenoptera; Halictidae
Description: tRNA-Ser
Source: RNAcentral